This is an RNA transcript of Triplophysa dalaica, 3030 nucleotides long. It is a transcript of the gene named sterol O-acyltransferase 2, with no coding region annotated. Lineage: Eukaryota; Metazoa; Chordata; Actinopteri; Cypriniformes; Nemacheilidae. The record is from RefSeq and is a predicted model, not a curated record. The transcript is spliced from 18 exons.
UGUGUGUGUGACCUUAUGGUUAAACACAGAGCAAAGCUCAUAAACUCACAGACAGCCACGCAUUUAAACUCUAAACACCAGGACAAACUCGACCUACGGCACACACGCUACAGACAUUACGCUUGUAUUUGAGGAACGUGGGAAAGGAAACUCUGGCUGACUAAACCCACUACAGAAGACAUGAGCAGCGGUGUGACACGGCGCACGAGCGCUCAAGUUUCUGGUGAGAAUCCACCUCAAAAGAACGGAUUCAUUAAUUAUGAUAAUCUUACAUAUUUGAAGGAAAUGGCACAGAGCAGAGAUGAGAUUGAGCAGAAGAUCAAAGCCGAUGUGAUCAAUCAGGUUAAACUCCAACUGAAUGAAGUUCUGGACAAAGCACUCACAGACUCAAAGCAAAACACACUUUCAAACACAGAUGGGAAGGGAAACUCUAACAGCAGGGACAACCCGGAGCAAGGGAAGGUGUUUGUGGCCAGACGGUCUCUGCUAGAUGAGUUAUUCGAGAUCAGUCACAUCAGGACCAUUUAUCACAUGUUCAUCGCUGCACUUUUUCUCUUUGCCCUGAGCACUCUGGCAGUGGAUUACAUCGACCAGGGCAGACUGGUGCUGGACUUUGAUUUGUUCUUGUAUGCUUUCGGUCAGUUGACUACGGUCAUUUGGGCCUGGGGUCUUAUGUUUGGUUACACAUUGCUCGGGCCGUAUCACGUUGUGAGAGUUUGGGGCGGACUGUAUCACAGCUGUCAGAAGAGGACCCGAGUGACAGCAGGGAUGGCUCUGAUUUUGUGCGCAUCACAGCUGAGCAUGCUGGGAAUAUUUCCAGUGUGUGUAGUGCUGCGGUAUCAGCUGCCGCCCGCGUCACGAUUCAUCAUCAUAUUAGAACAGAUCAGAUUUGUGAUGAAAAGCUACUCGUUCAUUCGUGAGACGGUACCAGUUGUUUUCAGAAACACACCACAGAAGGGUGAACUGUUGACAUAUCCGUCUUUCCAAAGCUAUCUCUACUUUUUAUUUUGUCCGACACUGAUCUAUCGGGAAGCUUAUCCACGAAACUCCCACAUCAGGUGGAACUAUGUCGGCAAGAACUUUCUAAAGAUUUUGGGCAGCGUGUUCUAUCUGUACUUCAUCCUGGUGCGAUUGUGCAUCCCAGUGUUUAUGAACAAAAGCAGUCAAGCGUUCAGCACACGAACACUCAUUCUGGCUCUGUUUCACGCCACUUUUCCAGGUAUGCUGAUUUUAAUGUUGGGAUUUUACGCCUUUCUACACUGCUGGCUCAACGCCUUCGCCGAGAUGCUGAGUUUUGCUGACCGGAUGUUCUACAAGGAUUGGUGGAACUCGACCUCUUUCACAAAUUACUAUCGCACCUGGAACAUCGUCGUACACGACUGGCUUUACUACUACGGUUAUCGAGACUUGCUCUGGCUGUUGGGUCAGAAGUUUCGAUCUAUGGCCACACUCUCCGUGUUUGCGCUUUCUGCUUUGGUUCACGAAUACGUCUUCACCCUGGGCUUCGGUUUCUUCUACCCAGUGAUGUUCUGCACAUUCGCUGGAAUCGGAGUGGUGUUUAACUUUACCCUGAAUGACAAGCGGAAGAGUCCGGUGUGGAACGUCAUUAUGUGGACGUGUUUGUUCAUCGGUCAGGGGGUUCAUGUGUGUCUGUAUUGUCUGGAAUGGUACGCCCAGAUUCACUGCCCGCGUACCGGGACAAGCUUCUGGGAGCUGGUGACACCCCGAUCAUGGACAUGUAGCUAUCAGUGAAGACACAUCGCUUUCCGACCGGACCGAACCUUAGGAACCAAAAACAGAGCUGCUGAGACGGCGAAAAAACAUGAACUGCCUCAAUUCUACGUGGCAUUGAUUCAACAAGGUGCUGAAAGCAUUCUUUAGAAAUAUUGGCCCAUAUUGAUAGGAUAGCAUCUUGCAGUUGAUGGAGAUUUGUGGGAUGCACAAAGCUCCCCUUCCACCUCACCCCAAAGAUGCUCUAUUGGGUUGAGAUCUGGUGACUGUGGGUUUAGUACAGUGAACUCAUUGUCAUGUUCAAGAAACCAAUUUGAAAUGAUCGGAGCUUUGUGACAUGGUGCAUUAUCCUGCUGGAAGUAGCCAUCAGAGGAUGGGUACAUGGUGGUCAUAAAGGGAUGGAUAUGGUCAGAAACAAUGCUCAGGUAGGCCGUGGCAUUUAAAUGAUGCCCAAUUGGCACUAAGGGGCCUAAAGUGUGCCAAGAAAACAUCCCCCACACCAUUACAACACCACCAUAAUUGCAUUAAUGAGAAAUUGAACAGGUGUUCCUAAUAAUCCUUCAGAUAUUUUUUCACAGUUUAUCCUGAGUUGAUAAUUGCAGAAUGUCUUCUCCAGUUCAUCAGUUUUAUUUGAGAAAACACAAGGGAUUUUAUGUGUAAUACAAAUACCAAUUUAAAUCAGGAAAUAAAGUUUAAAACAUUAUGAACCAAGCUGAGACGUAAAAGGGGAACAAUUCUAGAUUUUGCAUAUGUAAGGUUUCUAGGUCACUAUUCAAAUGUAAGCAAAUGUGGCACACUGAGCGUAUGAACUCUGUUCAGGUCACAUUUGUUUAUUUUAGCAGACGAGACGCUCUUUGAUCAUGGAUCAGGAUUCUUCAUGACAGUUUGGAUGUUUGUGUUCUUCACACCAAAACAAAAAUUCUGUCAUUUAUUCACACUCAUGUAAUUCCAAACCUGUAAAACUUUCUUCUGCAAAUCACAAAAGAAGAGAUUUGGACAAAUGUGGUGACAGAAAACCCUUGGUUCCUCAUUGACUUGCAUUAGUUUUGUGUUCAUAGGAUAGAAGUGAAUGGGGACCAAUGGUUUUUGUUAACCAACAUUCUUCAAAAUAUCUUUUGUGUUUUGCAGAAGAAAGUAAUUAAGGUUUGAAAUGACAAGAGGACGAGUAAAUGAUGAUAGGAUUUAAGUUUUACACCCUUUACCUCAAAUGGUUAUGCUUAUGAAUAAUGAAACAUCAUUUGCUCUCAGACUGUGAACAGGAUGAAAUGCAUAUCAAAUAAAACCUGAUGUCUCCUCUUA